CCCUUUCCGCAUAUCUGUCUUCGAUUCCGAAUAGUGAUCAGGAUGAUUUGAAAGAAGCUCUAUCUGACCUUGAAAAAAAACUGUGCAAACAUUUUAGAAGAUUAGAAAUAAGAGGGAAAAGGGGCAGAAAGGUACCAGUCCUACUGACUCCAGAAAUGCAGCAGUCAUUGGAUAUGCUUGUCAGCAAACGACAGGAAUGUGGUGUACCUACAGAAAACAUCUACUUAUUUGCAAGACCAUUCGCAAUGAGUUGCUAUCGUGGCUCUGAUUGCCUUCGGCAUUUUGCUAGCACCUGUGGAGCCAAAAGACCAGACACAUUGACAUCAACAAAGCUGCGCAAGCAAACAGCAACUCUGUCUCAGAUUUUGAACCUGAGCAAUACAGAGUUGGAUCAGCUAGCAAAUUUCCUUGGUCACGAUAUAAGAGUUCAUCGCCAGUUUUACAGGCUUCCAGAAGGCACCCUUCAGCUUGCUAAAAUCAGUAAAGUACUCAUGGCACUGGAGCAGGGACGUCUUGUUGACUUUAAAGGAAAAAAGCCUGGAUGACAUAACCAUUGACCCUGAAGAGAAUGUGAAGUUGGACAGUGAGGAAGAGGCAGAGUUUGAGUCAGAUCCUAAGGAGGAUCAAGUCACAUCCAUCGGGGAACAUAGAACAGAAAUGGAGGACAGAAAUGCCGAAAUACAGGACAAUAGGACACCUUCACAAACCAGCAAAAGUAGUUCACCUAAAAAGGGUAAAAGUAAGUAUUCCACUCAUUUGUCCCUCUACUCCCUGCCCCUCUCCAUCUUAUAGAAUUCCUCUAGGUUUUUGUUUGAAUUCUAUUUUUUAUGCAUAUCAAAGCUGUUUAGUGAAUUUUCUCAAUGUUUUUCAAAUGCAUUUUAUAUUAAAUG
Fundulus heteroclitus (mummichog) is the source of this 890-nucleotide long non-coding RNA. RefSeq lists it as uncharacterized. Lineage: Eukaryota; Metazoa; Chordata; Actinopteri; Cyprinodontiformes; Fundulidae. The record is from RefSeq and is a predicted model, not a curated record. The transcript has 3 exons.